AGAAGCUGCUCAUCCGUCAUUCCAGGACCCAGGUCUGUGGGCUGCCCACCAUCUUGACUGUUUGUAAGGAAGAGAAGGAUUCUGAAGAGUCUCCUGUGGAUGGUGACAGGUCUGACCCAGAAGUGACAUGUGUCAUUUCUGCUUAGAAUUUAUCGGCCCCGCCCACUGGAAGGGCCCCAGCUUGGCUGCAGGCUGGGGUGAUGGAGAGGGCCAGAGCCACUUGGUGAGCUGCUGUGAUGACCCCAAGCACUCUGGGAAAUGAGCAGUCAGGGUUAUAUUCAAAUUGCAUGUGCGGAGUUUGGGGCUGACUGUAGUGAUGACCCUUUCCCUGUGUGUGCAGAGUGCUAACCAGUGCACCUGCUGUCCUCCCCAGGAGGAUCCCAGUGGGGCAGAUUUGUGCAUCCAUCAACAAUCAAUUUUAAGGAAUUUUUUUUUAAUCACCCUGGAAAAAACCCUUCUACUCUGUGCUGAGAGAAUGCUCAGAGUUAUUUGGACCGUUAUAGUAUAAGAAUGCCAACAUUGCCAAUGAUCUUCAUGCCAUCAAUCAUGAAGAUGAUGAUGGAGAUGGUGUUGCUGCUGAUGCUGAUGAUACAAGGAGAGAUACAGAGAUGACGGCUCAUAGUAAGGACUUGUCAUGUGCCACGAACAGUCUUAAGCAUCUUUCCUGUAUAUUAUUAGAUAAUUCUUGCUGUGGCCCCACGAAGUAAGUACUAUUUUUUUUUUUAAGAUUUUGUUUAUU
Lutra lutra (Eurasian river otter) is the source of this 739-nucleotide long non-coding RNA. RefSeq lists it as uncharacterized. The record is from RefSeq and is a predicted model, not a curated record. NCBI's taxonomy places the organism in Eukaryota, Metazoa, Chordata, Mammalia, Carnivora, Mustelidae. The transcript is spliced from 4 exons.